RNAcentral lists this ribosomal RNA (465 nucleotides) under uncultured bacterium. RNAcentral describes it as "bacterial SSU rRNA". It matches the Rfam family "Bacterial small subunit ribosomal RNA", at positions 36 to 518 of the family's 1533-position model. The record is from RNAcentral.
CUGGCGGCGUGCCUAACACAUGCAAGUCGAGCGAGGAGAUCCUUCGGGAUGAUCCUAGCGGCGGACGGGUGAGUAACACGUGGGCAACCUGCCUCAUAGAGAGGAAUAGCCUUCCGAAAGGGAGAUUAAUACCUCAUAACAUUGCAGUUUCGCAUGGAACAGCAAUUAAAGGAGCAAUCCGCUAUGAGAUGGGCCCGCGGCGCAUUAGCUAGUUGGUGAGGUAACGGCUCACCAAGGCGACGAUGCGUAGCCGACCUGAGAGGGUGAUCGGCCACAUUGGGACUGAGACACGGCCCAGACUCCUACGGGAGGCAGCAGUGGGGAAUAUUGCACAAUGGGGGAAACCCUGAUGCCAGCAACGCCGCGUGAGUGAUGACGGCCUUCGGGUUGUAAAGCUCUGUCUUCAGGGACGAUAAUGACGGUACCUGAGGAGGAAGCCACGGCUAACUACGUGCCAGCCGCCGC